RNAcentral lists this ribosomal RNA (464 nucleotides) under uncultured bacterium. RNAcentral's name for it is "partial 16S ribosomal RNA". The record is from RNAcentral.
GAUUGGUUACCUUGUUACGACUUCACCCCAGCCACGAACCCUGCCGUGGUAAUCGCCCCCCUUGCGGUUAGGCUAACUACUUCUGGCAGAACCCGCUCCCAUGGUGUGACGGGCGGUGUGUACAAGACCCGGGAACGUAUUCACCGCGACUAUCUGAUCCGCGAUUACUAGCGAUUCCGACUUCACGCAGUCGAGUUGCAGACUGCGAUCCGGACUACGACUGGCUUUAUGGGAUUGGCUCCCCCUCGCGGGUUGGCAACCCUCUGUACCAGCCAUUGUAUGACGUGUGUAGCCCCACCUAUAAGGGCCAUGAGGACUUGACGUCAUCCCCACCUUUCUCCGGUUUGUCACCGGCAGUCCCAUUAGAGUGCCCUUUCGUAGCAACUAAUGGCAAGGGUUGCGCUCGUUGCGGGACUUAACCCAACAUCUUACGACACGAGCUGACGACAGCCAUGCAAGCACCU